UCCCCCUCGAGAUCCCCCCUGCCUGAUCCACCCAACCAGCUUCCACCCUCCUCCUUGAUUUCAGGCACCAGCCAACCAAAUCCAUUCCCUCAUCGAUCCACCCAUCCAACCAGUGCCACAUCACCUCCUCCUCCAUCCCCCUAUAGCCCGCGCCUUCCCGCAGCCUAGGACAAGCAGCUCGAGCUCCCGAGCUACUCCCGCGCGCCGUGGCCUCCGCCGGCGGCAGAGCGGCGACAAUAGCAGCAGCCCCGACCUCCCCUGCCUUCUUCCUCUCCCUUCCCUGUCGUUCUUCCUCACCUCACAUCUCCCCUUCUUUGUCUGUUCGAACAGGGCGAACAGGAGCUUCCGUCAUCGCAUCAUGGUGUCGUUCCCCUAUCAUGGCGCCCGAGCGCCUCAAAUUCGUCACCGCAUCGCUCCGGCGAGCCUGCUCGCUGGCGACCUCAACCACCAGGCCGCUCCUCUGCCCUUCCCUUUCCCCUCUCCUUCUGCCUAUCUCUCACAUGGUCUCUCUCUAUCACCUUCAUAGGAUACCAACGCUGACGCCAUGUACGCCGCCGCCCCGUGCUUCAUCUCUGCACCCCUAGAACGGCACGUAAUCGACCAGAUCUGGCGUCUUUCGCUCGGAUCCGUGCCUCCCCCAUGCCCGCGAGCCCGCGUCGGCCAUGUUCCUCAUUAGCGACGACGAACAAGGCAGCCAUGGCCCCUCCUUCGACCGAACCGGCACAGCCACGCGGGCGUUGACCGCGCCUUCCUCACCCGCGUGGACCGCGCCAUUCCUCCAGGCUCAGCUGGGCUUGGCCCAAUUUGCGCUUCUCCUUGAUAGUUCUGGUUACGUUGCGAUUGUGAGGACCCGUUCGACUAUGUUGGUCCAUCUACUUCAUGGACUCGAUCUUCUUCCUAGCGGGAUUUUAGGCAAGAUGACCGUCACCUUGGAUCUCACUACUAGCUUUGCUAUGCUAGUUAUCUCGAUGCUAUCGCUAUGUCGCGCUACCUACCACUUGUUAUCAAGCCUCCCAAAUUACCAUGAUAGCCUUUAACCCUUUUUCCCUUCCUAGCAAACCGUUGUUUGGCUAUGUUACCACUUUGCUCAGCCCAUUUUAUAGCGUUGCUAGUUGCAGGUGCAGUUGCAGGUUGUUCCAUGUUGGGACAUGGAUAUCAUGGAUAUUUUUGGGAUAUCACAGUAUAUCUUAUUUAAAUUAAUGCAUCUAUAUACUUAGCAAAGGGUGGGAGGCUCGAUCUUAUGCCCGGUGUUUUGUUCCACUCUUGCCGCCGUAGUUUCCGUCAUACCGGUGUUAUGUGCCUUGAUUUUGCGUCCAUAACACGGUGAGGGGUAUGGGACCCUCUUGAUAGUUCGCUUUUGUAAGUGCAUCUAGUGCCACCCCUAGUUGGUUUUCGAGUAUUGACGACAAACCUAGUUGAGGGACUAAUGUGUUUGUGAGAAUUGCAGGAUAACACAGGUAGAAGUCCCUCAUUGAUUCGGUUUUACUACCAGAGAUGACCCCUAAAACUUUAUGAAGACAUUGAAGUCAAAGGUGGUAUAUGAAGAUAUUCACGUUGAAGACUAUGACAAGAGAAGACACGAUAUGAAGACUAUGGAGCUCGAAGACUUAGAUCUUUCGUAGUUCUUUUUCUUUUAUGUUGAGUCAUAGGAACCACCGUACUGUUAAGUGGGGUCCAAGAGAACCAGUCAGAAUGACUGAAGUGAUGCCUAAACCAAAAAUCUAUGUCUUCGAGUGAAGACUAUGAGAGCGAAUCUUGUCCAGAGUCGGACAAUUCAGCUUUGCUUGUAGCCCAAGUAAAGUUGCCGUGUGAGUUUGAAAUCUGACCGUUGGAACACAUGUCAGUUCCUUCGUAACCCAGGGUCAUUUAGGACAAAUCAGGUCAGGUUGCCAAGUGGCUAUAAAUAGCCCACCCCCUACAACCAUAAACGGUUGGCUGCUCAGAUUGAAAGUACAGCUUUUGUCGUUUGAGAGCAACCCACCUUGAAGCCUUUGAGAGAGAACUCCUUGUGAGGAUAAAGCCCAAACCACCCAGAGCCAGAGAGAAUUGGGCAUCACUUAAGUCUUCUUGUCUGUGUGAUCUGAAGACUUAUUACCCUUGAGGACUGUGCAUCCUCCAGCCGGUUAGGCGUCGCGUUCUGAGCAUCUGAGAGACAUUGUGGAUUGCUGGUGAACGAAGUCUGUGAAGGUUUGGGAGUCUACCUUGAAGACUUACCAGGGUGAUUGGGCGAGGUCUAUGUGACCUUAGCUCAAGGAGAAUACGGUGAGGACUGGGUGUCCUGAGCUGCGUGUUCAGGACUGGGUGUCCGGGACUGUGUGUCCUAAGGUUUAAAUACCUAGCCGCUCCAACCAGACGUACAGUUGUCACAGCAACUUGAACUGGUUCAACAAAUCAUUGUCUUCAACGAGUCACUGGUUUCAUCUUCACUUCACUUUACUUACUAUUCCUCCUUGUGAAGUCAUUGUAUGUUUACUCUAUCAUUUGUCUUCACUGAGUGACUGCCUGUUCUGUUUGGCUUCACAAUAUCUUCCUACCUGAUCCUUACUACCUAG
Molecule: ribosomal RNA, 2552 nt
Filed under: Triticum aestivum (bread wheat)
Lineage: Eukaryota; Viridiplantae; Streptophyta; Magnoliopsida; Poales; Poaceae
Description: partial small subunit ribosomal RNA
Source: RNAcentral